UACGUAGGGUGCGAGCGUUAAUCGGAAUUACUGGGCGUAAAGCGUGCGCAGGCGGUUUUGUAAGCCAGAUGUGAAAGCCCCGGGCUCAACCUGGGAAUGGCAUUUGGGACUGCAAGGCUUGAGUGCGGCAGAGGAGACUGGAAUUCCUGGUGUAGCAGUGAAAUGCGUAGAUAUCAGGAGGAAUACCGAGUGCGAAGGCAGGUCUCUGGGCUGACACUGACGCUCAUGCACGAAAGCGUGGGGAGCAAACAGG
Molecule: ribosomal RNA, 253 nt
Filed under: uncultured bacterium
Lineage: Bacteria
Description: partial 16S ribosomal RNA
Rfam family: Bacterial small subunit ribosomal RNA
Source: RNAcentral